CUUAAAUGAAUUGACGGGACCCGCACAAGCAGCGGAGCGUGUGGUUUAAUUCGUUGCUACACGAAGAACCUUACCUGGGUUUGACAUAUAGGUUGUAGGGAACUGAAAAGGGACCGACCCUUCGGGGAGCCUAUACAGGUGUUGCAUGGCUGUCGUCAGCUCGUGUCGUGAGAUGUUCGGUUAAGUCCGCUAACGAGCGCAACCCUCGUCGUAUGUUAUAUGUGUCAUACGAGACUGCCGGUAAAAGCCGGAGGAAGGUGAGGAUGAUGUCAAGUCAGCAUGACCUUUAUAUCCAGGGCUACACACACGCUACAAUGGUCUGUACAAUGGGUAGCCAAGCCGCGAGGCGGAGCCAAUCCUGAAAGCAGGCCUCAGUUCAGAUUGCAGUCUGCAACUCGACUGCAUGAAGCCGGAGUUGCUAGUAACCGCAGGUCAGCAAUACUGCGGUGAAUACGUUCCCGGGUCUU
Molecule: ribosomal RNA, 467 nt
Filed under: uncultured Anaerolineaceae bacterium
Lineage: Bacteria; Bacillati; Chloroflexota; Anaerolineae; Anaerolineales; Anaerolineaceae
Description: bacterial SSU rRNA
Rfam family: Bacterial small subunit ribosomal RNA
Source: RNAcentral